RNAcentral lists this long non-coding RNA (1240 nucleotides) under Homo sapiens (human). RNAcentral describes it as "HSALNT0296343". The record is from RNAcentral. Lineage: Eukaryota; Metazoa; Chordata; Mammalia; Primates; Hominidae.
AGCAGAACUGGCUAGAGCAUCUCCACCAUCUUCCUUCAAGCACGUGGACCGACACCCAGGCCUCCUGGUGUCCUGACACUGCAGACUCCUGGAAUAUACCUCCACCAGCAGGCAGGAAUCUGUCCUAUUCCCAGCAACCACUAGAGGCACUGCCUGACCCUACUGCGGCCACAAGCAGAGGGACCCCAGGAUUCUCAAAUCUGUUACCUUGUCUCACCUCCCCUAGGAAGCAGAAGAGUGCUAUGUGUUGUCGUCCUUCCCUCGGCAGCAGCAGCAGUAGAUGAUGAUGCCAAUGAUAAUGAGGGCUGCAACCACGCCCACCGCGAUGCCCACAUACAGGGCCACGUUCAUGGAGGCUGCAAGAGGACAGAGCAGCUGCACUUGCCGAGCUUCUAAGCUAGCUCCGGGUCUCCUCCCAGCCAGGGGAGCAGCAGCUACCAGCUUCUGGUAACACUCCAUGAAAGGCAUGGUCUUGGAGGAAUGUGACCAGCCAUGGCCCAGGAAUAUUCUUCAGGAUGGAGGUGCAGACAGAGACAUAUGGUCCACUUCACAUCUUAACACUUUCCGGGCUACCCUGGCUCUGCAAAAGUCCUCAGAUGUCAGCCCAGCCAGCUCUUUAAGCUAGAUUUGGUGUCUCACCCCAGAAGGAUGUGGUCCAGACUCUGCGGCAGCUGCCCUGGGCACUUCCUCCACGCCCACCGAGUGGUUCCUAGGCAGGUGGGACUGACAAAGCCUCUGAGUCCUAGAAGUCAGUCCUAGGUUCCACUUCCAAACACCAGUGGAACUGGACUGGCCUCAGAGUGAGGGGAGCCUGGGACAGAGUCAUCCUGCCUAGGUCACCACAGCUAACCUGCAGAAAAUCUUUAGCUGCUGAUCACAGCUAUAAACGAGAUGAGGAGGGUCCCUGUCCUCUUGGUGUUUCCAGUCUCCCAAAGAAGACAGACAUGAAACAAUGAUGGUUACAGUUCAAGAUGGAGGUACUAUCUGAGCUUAUGGCAAGGGGUUUUAAUCUCAUCCAAAGGGCCAAGGAAUGCCUCUUUAAAGAAGAGAGAACAAAUAAAAAUCAUUCAUAAUUCCAUCACCUAUAAAUAACACUUUGAUUUGGUGCUAUUUUCUUUCAGUCUUUUCACUUGUACUUUCUUCAAAUUCUUCCCUUGACCCCCAGGACACUACUCUCUGGAUGCUCAUUCUUCAUAAAAUGUGUCCCCUUCUAUCCUAGAAUUCCACGCCUCAGUAUGUU